This 430-nucleotide ribosomal RNA is filed under the name Pseudomonadota bacterium. RNAcentral describes it as "Proteobacteria bacterium partial 16S ribosomal RNA". It matches the Rfam family "Bacterial small subunit ribosomal RNA", at positions 355 to 776 of the family's 1533-position model. Lineage: Bacteria; Pseudomonadati; Pseudomonadota. The record is from RNAcentral.
UGGGGAAUAUUGGACAAUGGGGGGAACCCUGAUCCAGCCAUGCCGCGUGUGUGAAGAAGGCCUUAUGGUUGUAAAGCACUUUAAGCGAGGAGGAGGGUACUGGUAUUAAUACUACCAGGUACUGGACGUUACUCGCAGAAUAAGCACCGGCUAACUCUUUGCCAGCAGCCGCGGUAAUACAGAGGGUGCGAGCGUUAAUCGGAUUUACUGGGCGUAAAGCGUGCGUAGGCGGCUAAUUGAGUCGGAUGUGAAAUCCCCGAGCUUAACUUGGGAAUUGCAUUCGAUACUGGUUAGCUAGAGUGUGGGAGAGGAUGGUAGAAUUCCAGGUGUAGCGGUGAAAUGCGUAGAGAUCUGGAGGAAUACCGAUGGCGAAGGCAGCCAUCUGGCCUAACACUGACGCUGAGGUACGAAAGCAUGGGGAGCAAACAGG